This 9926-nucleotide long non-coding RNA is filed under the name Gallus gallus (chicken). The record is from RNAcentral. Lineage: Eukaryota; Metazoa; Chordata; Aves; Galliformes; Phasianidae.
GGGGAACGGGCGGGAGCGGUGGGGUCGUCCGCAUCGUGCCGGGCAGCCCGGAGCGGGGGUGGCCGUGGCCGCGCGGUACUGGUCGGAAGGCCGGGUGGUGAAAGCUGGCGCUUCAGCCAAGCAGACGCAGCCCUGGAGGUCCCCAACCUGGUGCAUGUCAGGAUAAGGUGCUCCCGUUCGAAGCCUUUCCAGCUGCUUGCCUGGUGAAGCUCAUGCGGGGUUAGUCACGGCUGACGGAGCAGCCUGAGGGGUGGAGAGCCUGCCCAGGAAUCAGGAGGACAGCUUUCAGCUCUGCCUAAUGGGAAUCAGGCCUGCACCUUCACAGCGCUGCCCGGACCUCCCGCUGCCCCCGGGCCAGGGUAAUGGUAGCACAGGGAAGCUGUGGCCUGUCCUUCCUGGGAGCUAUCCAAAAGCUGACUGCACAUGGCCCAAGCUGACCUUACGGGAUCUGCUCUGAGCAGCAGGGAGUAGACUUGAUCUCCAGAGGCCCCUUCCAAGGUAAACCUGUUCUAUAACCUUAUGUUACAUCAGUAGAGUUUCAGGUCUUGUUACAAACUGGAAGGAUGCCCAAACCCAGAAAGCAAAUACUCCUUUGAGUACAAUACGCAGCGCUGUACGGCUGCUGCAAAUCAUGCCCUUUCCUUCCUGGCUGUAAACAUUUUGCAUGUAAGUUAUGUCACCCCAGAGAGCUAUUAGGGUAAGAUUACAUGCACCAUAUCUCCUGAAGAGCUGGAUUCUUAUCUGUCAACAAAGCUUACUGGCUUUCCUGUAAUCCUGUGAAUGUGCUUUCGUAGCCUUGGGCAAAACAUUUUUAGUUCAUCUGCUCUUCUGGUUUUGGCAAAUCUGCACAUGCUGCUGGUUGUGUCCCUGGUCCUGUAAACUCUCACACAUCUUCUUAGUUAGAUGGUCAUACACAGCCAGUCAUACUGAAGCGCAGAUAUUAGUAAGGCCAAGCCAUUGCAUGUGAGAUGGCACAUGGCCUGCAUUUGUCCGUCACUUAGCACUAGCUGGCUGUAUUAACUUGCCUAUACUGAGCUGCUUACCUCUGACUAGAGAACAUCACCAGCUGAAAUCAUUUCUAAUUAUGGUGUAUGUGUAUUAUAAAGUGCUGUUUUUGACGUAAGCUCUUACUGCUGAUUUUAAAGAGCGCGCCUAACGCUACCAGUGGGUUAUUGACCAAAACCCUCUCGUCUGUGGGGACAGACAACUGAUGAAAUCUGUGUGCAGACUUGGAACAAAUGAACCCCUAAUGGCCAAGGAACAAAUCAAUUUACAGAUGAUUAUGAAGUUAUUUAAAAAUAUCCCGAACAAUUCUGAAUAUAAACAACUUCUUGAACCCUGAAGAAGUUAAGAACUUCCUUUUAUCCAUUAUGACAGUGGGUGAGUACCACGACACAGGCAAUGUAUUCUUCCCUGAGGAGCAAUGGUAGAGAAUAUGCCACACGUGGUAUCAUAACUAACAUCAGUCACUGAGGUAAGGGCAGAUGCCGCCCUGGUGUGAAGGCUGUGCAAUGGAUAUGAUUUCUUCCUGUCCCUCCUGCCACAGCACCUUGCAGUCCUUUCUGUGGGCAGGAAGGAGAGGCCUGCCAGCUCAGCACAAGGCAGAGCUCCUCUGUAUCGUAACUGAUCUAUUGUGCAGAGAAGCUGAAGAGAAGACAAGGUGUCACACCAAGAAUCCAGAAAUGUAACUAAUCUAAUAUACCGAGGCUAAACUGGAUGAUAAAUUCUGAAAAAUUGACUUGAUGUAAUAGUCGUUUUAAAGGCAUCUUUAACGUAUUAAAUAUGUACUCACGAGACUCUGAUAUGGCAAAUUAAAGCGUAUGAAUAACCUCAUGCAGAUUCAUAAGCCGCAUAGAUAUUUGAUGGAAAAAGCUUAUAGGUUUGGAUAAUUCAAUAAAGCUUUGGCUGGAGCAGAAUUAAGUUAGGAUAUAAUGGCAUUUUCAUAUUAACAUUAAGUAAGUUUAAAAAAAGAAGUGAGAAAAAAGUUGAGUUGAGGCAAGGCAGGUAAUCUCUGCAGGGUCAGAUGUUGCCCACGGGGCUCAAUGGCUGUGGGCUAUGGCUGCUCAUUGUCUUCCAAAAGCCGUGGAAGGGAAAUUAGUCUCCGCAAUAUCAGAUCAUAAUAUCAUUUCUUAUCUGCAGUUAUGAGAAAUACCGGUCUUUAAUUAGCAACAUAAAUGAAAGUGGGAGAAAUUAUUAAAGGAAUGCCAUAGAGGUAAAAGUCUUUACCAGUUAUCCUGUUGAAAUCUGCCAAAAGCUGACAGGUACACUGAAGGAGGAAAUAAGACGCCCAUGCAAACCUCCACCUACAUCAGCUAACAGAAAGCAGAACUAAUUCUACCAAAGUCUUACACAUGGAGCAGGACAGUGGUGGCAGUGGGAGUUAAAGGGGCUGUGCAGGUUCUUUAAUGCAGGGGAUGCGAUCGCUGUGAUGCACUGCAGAGGGCAUGCAGUAAUUUCUGGCGUGGCUGCAGAGGGAGGUGCCCAUCUCCCCAGCACUGCUGACGCAGACGCUGUCAGUGAGGUGGAAGGAUUGCUGGGUACCGGUCUCCUUCUGUCUGUGGGUCUGCUCAGGUGCUGAUGGGUUAUUAAACCAUGAGCCUCUGCUGCAAUGUAUGCAGGCAGCUGUUAAACAAUCUGCAUUAAAUCGGCAAUUUUCUGAUCACAGGAGAGAGACUCAUGAGUACCUGACAAAACAUCAUCACUUAAAGGUUUCCAGCUUCAAAGCACACCGAUUUAUACUGAUGUGGAGACAGCCCACUUCCUGAAAACUCUACUCGGGUGUUUAAGUUGCAUCACUUCCUGAUCCAGACCCUAUAGUGGGAUUCCUUCUGCUGUCUGUGGAGAGCAGACAGUGCCGUUAUACACGGCCGGCACCUGCACUGUGUAAAGCAGGUUUCCAAAACGUGAUUUCAGAACAUCAAAAACGCCCACUUACAACAUGACUUCCAAUGCAAACGGUGCACAGGUACCGACACCCGAAGACUUCUAACUCUAAAAGUUCGUGCUUAGGGUAAACUUGAACUCCAAUUUCUUGUGUUGUUAAUCAGUUCUGUGGGUCCCACAUUAAUGCUGAACUGAGCAACUGCACUGCCCCAAAGGAUUGGUAAAAACUCAGAUAUGAGAACAGGGAAAUAGCAAAUCCCCUUUGCAGUAGGAGCCCGAGGAGAAACUGAAGCGGACCCUUUGGAGCACACUUACUUCAGGAUCACAGUUUUACUUUGCAGGAAAUGAUGAUGAGCACAGGGGCCUAAGAGAGAAAAGGAAGUACUUUUAAAGCACUUGAUUACAUUCAAGAGAUUUUAAAAAUGCACCUACUGUGUUGAAUUUCAACCGGUUCUUUGAAUAAUUUGUUAUUAAAAUGCCUGAGGACUCAUUCAUACACAGAACAUGUUUGACACCACUUCCCUGCGCACUUCAGAGCUGUCACCAGGCUGCUGGCUGCCAUGUCCUCAGCGAUGCGGUAAGCAGGGCCGCUCCCUGCUGCCUGUGUUCGCUCCUCCUCAGCUGGCCGUGGCGCCUGCACAGCCAUGAAGCGACACGAGCACCAGGAGGCAGAGGUGAAAAACAGAAUGGAAGCUAUCCUGAGCCUUUGAAACUUCUUUCUCAUGCUGAGAAAGGUGUUGAUUCAUUUCGUUUUAGGGUAUCUCUACAAGUAGGACAACCGAAGUUGACUUCUGAUUCCAGACCAAAGCUUGCUGACUUUGAUCCCAGGCAGAUCUGCAGUUUUAUCUGCAUGAUGACUACAGAGCAAUUUACAAUUAGCAGCAACGAUCUGCCUGUAAUGAACUUAUUUUUAUUUACGCUAUGAAUAAAUUCUGUAAAAAUUAAUUGUGCUCCUUCGCAAUCGGUUCCUUCCCACCCGUAUUCCUACAGUAAGUCCAUUAAAAAAAAACCUCUGUUCCUUGGAUUUUGCUCUUGCUGGGUUUUUUUGUGCAGGUGGCACUGACUGCACUCACAAGCGAGGCCGAUGUACAGAGCACUACCAUGAAGGCCACCUAUGUUCGUAGCACACGAUCAUUUAUAAGGUAACUUAAGAACAUUCUGAACCUCAAAGGGACGAUAUCACAGUUGCUGUUUUCAGUGCAAGUAAACAAUAACGUUCACCUGCAGGAAAUAAACACUUCAGCUAAGCACCAUGGUACUAAAAAGCCCAGCAAAGCAUUUAUUUUUGUAUUGCAGAGAGGUAAAACCAGUUUACUUCUGCAUCAGUGACCUCUACUUCUUCAGCGAGAGCCACAGAAUUCCAAUGUUUUCAUUUCCCCAAAUGCUGUCCUUCACCUCUUACUUACACUACUUUUCAUUAACUAGGAACAAAAUGAUCUCCUGUGCUUGUAGGGAGAGGUGACACAGGCAGCUAAGGCAGGUUUCAGAGCACCUACCUUCACUUGUCCAGAACUCAGCUCAUCUCAGCUUCUGGCCUCGCUCUGCAGUGUCAACAGAGAGAGGCACCUCUGGGGAUUUAUUCAAAUAUUCCAGACAUAUUUUAGGAUGAAGCAAACGACCGUAUGAGUGAGGAAGGGAGCCUGAACAGCCUAGCUGGAACACAGUCGCUUCCAUCUCCUCAGUUUUUCCUUCUGGACGUCACAGUUCCUCAGGCGAACCUUCCCAUCUGUUUGUGCCCUUCAGGCAAAUUCCAAGCCCUUCCAAAUGGAACAUUUUGGCAGCACUCCAUCCUCCACUCAGGGACAGUUGUUCACUCUACGGUCUGCAGUUUGCCUUCUACAGCGCAUCGCUUCCUCACUGUUCUUCAGUGGGACACAGCAGUGCAAAAGUGUCUCCUUGUGCCUCACACAGCAAUUCUCAACAGACUGGCACCGAAACACCAUUUACGAAGUACUGAAGUGUAACAACACCUAAUGCUGUAAGGAGAUGUAAGCACUUUAAAAGGAUUACUUUACACUCCCAUUAUUCACUGUCCUAGAAGAACACCCUCGUCCUGGCUUGCACAUUCAUUACCACUGCUAUUAGAAUAAAGCCAAUUGGUUAAAUAAUCAGAGUAUAUAAAUUUUAGCAAGCCUGCUGAAACCGAGACAAAUUGUUUCUGAUUCUGUGACUGAUUUUCUCUUUUUCUUAGCUGUAAAAAAACAAUAACACUUUUUAAGAGAGUCUGUUUCUUAUUAAGAUUUAGAAUACUCAUUUUUCUGAUAUCCGAGCUCCAAAAUAUGCAGCCCAAUGUUCCCUUACACCUCAAAGCUGAUUUAUUUGAAGAAGAAAAGUGCAUUACACUUUCCUGACAUCAUAAAUUCGAGGUUCCAGAAGACAGUAAAUAGCAGGUGCAGCUGCCUGUGUACUCUGAAUUCUAUUUCUUGCCCCACUGAUCUAAUGUCCUUACUGGAACGUGGGCUCUGGAAACAAAAGCAGUGACACAAGGUAUAGAAUACAGAUGCAACUUUUAAUUGUUUAUGUGUGGAUAGACUGACCACUCUUUGGGAGGAUGAAGAGUAGAACAAAUGAACAGGACUCCAACCCCCCAUUAUCUGUUACAGUACCUCCAAUGUGCCUGUGAAGCCUGUUCAGCAUGGCAGGGGUAGCACUUCACCACACAUGGUGUUUCUUGGACUACAUGAGCUGGCAUGACUUGCAUAAUUUGGCUGAUGUCGGAGGCAGCCAGUUUGACCUUCAGUAUGUUGCUAUGUAGUUGCUAGGGAUGCAACUUUUAUUAGAUAAAGCGCAGCUAAACAUCUGUUAUGACAAAACACAGAACUAGAAGAAAUAACCGAGCAUUUAGCCAGCAACUCCUACACCAGUCAUUUAGCCUGACCUGGCCUAUACCGUGCCACUGUGAAUAGACGAAUGGCAGCAAUUUCAUUGAUUUAGAGCUUAAAAAAAAAAGUAGAACAACCAACAGGAUGGACUGCGCCUCCAAUAAAGACUUCAUGUUCUAAAAUACUCUUAGAAGAGCAUACUUGUGCUUGUGUUCCUAGCGCAGCCAAUUACAAAAUGUGUUUUUCAGAAGCAAAGACACCUGUUUGAGAGACCUCAUGGCCAUGGCACAGAAUUUAGCUGCUGGCCUACCAGUAAAGCUGCAACAAUGAACAUACUUCACAUCUCUGCUUUCUGAAAUGCACUGAGAAAACAAGAAGCUGCUGUUUGUGUAUAUGGCUGAAUGCUACCUGCUUUGAUUCUGUUUGGAAAACCUCCAGGCGUUUUCCAACACCUUCAGUGGUCUUCUGGAGGUAUGUUUUAAAUUUCAACUCUUAAUUGCUCCCGUUAAAUGGCUCAGGAAUUAUUUACAGACUAUACUCACUUUUCAUAGAUCAGCAGUAUCUAACACAAUAUAUUCGGCAUAGGGGGCUGAGGAGGUAAAUUCGUGGUCCUGUGCUCUCUGACUUCAUGUACCUUCAGCUUGCUCUUCGAGACAUGGUGGAACCACUCUUGUGGCCUCAGUAAUUUCCUAGCAAGGCAGCAACUUAAUGAAAAUGAGAAACAGCCACAGUAAUUUUCUCUUUUUUAAAAAAAUUUAGGAAGAAAAGAUGGCUCAUGUCUGAACUGAGCAACUGAAACAUGGUUUUCAAGAAGACUAAGACUUGCUUAGACCACAGACUCACUCAUUGCUACUUUAGUAUGCAAUGUUUUUUUAGAGUCUAAAAUCAGUUUAUCUUUGUCACAGUAAGAAUGAAAGAUGAUUUUCAACAAAUAGAGAGAAUGCAAACUGUUUUCCUCCCCUUUGCAACAUUUCAGCUCAUCAGGCCGUACACCAUCACAAAGGAGAUGACAAAAACAGCAAAGCCAAAGCCUCUUGCACUGGCACAUCUGCCUGCACGUCAGGCUGCCUGGAGUUGUAAACACUUUAAUAUUGCAUAAGUCAGAUGGGUAAGGUCUCUCUUCAAAGAUCUUCAGCAGCAGUAACCACGGGCAGUAGCAGGCAUUUAUCAUUUGCCUUUCGCUCAGUAAUAAAGGCACAGCCUUUCAAACCCAAUUAUGUAGUUGCCUUUGUGGAAGUUAAGUCGACGUGCAAACUGCUGUGAUUUGAAGAGUAACGUAGCAAUUCUUUACUAUUUACUUUACUAUACAUAAGACCAUGGAAACACAAACGAGUUUUGAGUUAUAUCUAGUGAUGAAGUAAGUGCUAUUCAUCUCUGUUACCACUUCACUGUUCUUCAAAAAGAACAUGAGAACACUUGAGAAAAACAAGUACUUAUAAGCAGAAGUAUCAUAGAAUCAUAGAAUGCCUUGGAGUGGAAGGGGACUCGAAGAUCAUUUAACAGGACUACGUUGUUGCUGUGAGAUCUGGUCCAUCAUAAUCCUCAAAGGAAGACAUAGAAGAAAUCCUUCAACAGGGAACAGAUUCUUUAUUGGACAGAUUCCAAAGUUUUAUGUAGAAUACUGGAAUGGCAUAACAGCCACUGACAUUUUCAGUAUAAUACUGCAACAAACUGUCUAUUAUGACUUGUUCAGGAGUAAAAGCAAUUAAGCUGGCAUAAUAACAUACCAAACAGACAAGGCUGAUGAGACUGCAGUGCUGCUCAAAUACAGCUGUGACUCAGACUGGAUAAACACACCAAGUAUAGUCUAGGUUCUGCACGGUGUGUGUCACUGUACUGUACAUCUGGCUUUGAUUUUUUGCCAAGCUAUAAGCUGCUCUAUCUACACAUUAAGUAUUGCAGAAGGAAGUACAGUGCCCACCAGAAGUGGAAGUAAUACGAACUGACUGCAAACCAAAUCUUGUUUUUACCCCCUCUUUGUUCCUCUGUAGGUUACCUACAAUAUUUGUCUGUUGCAGAAAGCCAUUGGGUUGUACUGGCCGUUUCUGAAAGACAACAGCUAACAGUCCAACUUACUUUUGAAAUGCUGCAUGGCAGUACUUAGUCAACUCAGAGAGAACAACACAUUCAAGUUUAAGGUAACAGCACAGUACACAAUGAAGCUACAGUUUAUGUUCAUUGUUUACCAUUUUGCCAAAGUUAAAUACAACACUAUUGUAGAGAAUCUUCGUAGAAACACAGCAGUUUUCACUGUCUCCCACCCACCUUUUAAACCCAUCAUUUGAGGCAUUCUGACGUAUACCAUAGCAGGCAUCUGGACUGCAGCUGAGAAACAGAAUCCUGUGUCAUCUCAGACACAUAUAGAAGGGCUUUAAACAAAAAAAGCAGGGCUUUAAGUUUGGUUGGCUUAAGAUACUCAACAUCAGCCAAGUGAAGAUAUUCAUGCAUCAUUCCAGUUCAGUCCAGUGUGGAUUAUAAAUGUCACACUCCAUAACCAAAUAAUAACACAAAAACAUAUUCUUGGGAUGGAAGAGUUUCAGGAGGCACUACAGAAGUCUGAGAAAAACUGAAAUGUCAAAAAAAGUUAAAGAAAAAAAGUUAAAGAAAAAUUAAUAUACAAGUUCAGCAAUAACUUUCUUCUGAAGCUUGUAGGACUCACACACACCGGCUCUAUGCAGAAGAACAACCAUACACUUUCUAAACAAAAGAAGCAAACUGGUUGCCAGUACUAUUCUAUAAUGAUAAAUUUCAACUUUUUCACUUCUUGAACGGAAGCAUUAAGAAGCCUCUCUUGGAUAAACUUCAAUGAAUUUCAGAAUGCAUGCCUUUCCCUGAGGCCAAAAGGUGCUGGAUUCCUGUUAAGUAUUCUUAGCUUCAAAAACUGAAGAGGACUGAAUGCAUCUUGAGCACAGAAAAAUUAGUCAGACCUGCCUAUUAAAGAGAUAAGAUAAAAAUGGAUUUUUAUUACCUCUCCACGAACAAGAACAAACACUUUGAUAGUUAAUUUCAUCUAGAAGAUAAUAUUAUAAUAAUAUUAUAACAAUAUAAUAAUAUAUUAUAAUGUUAUCUAGAAGAUAAUAUAGCAACAUAUUAUAUGAUCCUAAGAGGGACGUGUUUAAAUCAAUCAAGAAAAUUCUUUGAGUAUAGUACAGCUACUGUAAAUACUUCUCCCUACAGCGUGCUCCCACUCAAAUCCUUACGUUCCCCAAAUAUAUGCUGCAAUGUUUAGGGGUAUGCAAAACACCCAACUCCAAAACAUACUGUAUUUAAUACUUAAUGCUAAGACUCUUCUUAUGGGAUGGAGGAAUUACAGUUACAUGUAAUGUUUACAGUAUUUAUGACUGCAAAUUCAAAUCUUAACUUUGUAGCACGUUUUUCUAUUUAUCAUGUUUCAAAUAACAUAAGCUUGAAAAAUGUCUUAAAUUGCUCUGUGUCUAGCACGGUUAAAGUGAAGACGAGAUACUCACUGUUGCAGGUUUCUCAGUUCAGAAGGCAGGUCACAACCUAUGUAAGCAUUAUUCAUUAAACUGUACUCUAAUAGUGCACAAAAACAGGGAUCCUACAAGAAAAGAUUAAUGUUUAAUACAAACGUUACUCUGUGUAAUGAACUUGCCAACAAAUUAACAUGGCACACAAAUGCAGAACAUUUCAGAGGACCUUUUCCAUAAACAGAACAGCACAAACAGUGCAAGCAUGGAGCAACAUCGCAGGAAGAUACCUUCAGAUGUAUUAAGUUACAUGUGUUGCAUGUACGUGUGGGGAAACUACACCUCCCAUUCAGUCAUUUCAUGAAUACUGUUCUGUCGAGAAGGUCAGAAAGAACCAUGCAUGAGCUCAAAAAGGAGACCUCUUCAGCAGGUGGUUACAUUAAUUGGGAGUAAUCACUUCUACCUCUCUCCAUUUAAAAAUGAAAAUAAUUGCAUCAGAUAGUCCCCUCCAAAUUAGUCAUUUACCAUGGCAAAUACCAUACAUGAUUCAAAGAUGUAAGAAGAAAACAAAAACAACUUACUUUCACAAGAAGAUGAGGAUUUCCUAUGACAAUCAGCAAAGCUUUUGCUCUAGUAAUGGCCACAUUGAAUCUCUUUGGGUUAGAGAGAAAGCCCAAACAGUAUUCCUCUUCAGCAAAUGUGUCUUCAUAAGAUCGCACCUACAAAUCACAGAUACAGAUUUAGAACUGGAAUAAUGAGAAACCAACUUACUUUGUAACAGUGUAACUUUCAU